This 1108-nucleotide ribosomal RNA is filed under the name uncultured Myxococcales bacterium. RNAcentral describes it as "bacterial SSU rRNA". It matches the Rfam family "Bacterial small subunit ribosomal RNA", at positions 397 to 1501 of the family's 1533-position model. Lineage: Bacteria; Pseudomonadati; Myxococcota; Myxococcia; Myxococcales. The record is from RNAcentral.
CCGCGUGUGUGAUGAAGGUCUUCGGAUUGUAAAGCACUUUCGACCGGGACGAACACCCUGAGGCUAACAUCCUCAGGUCUGACGGUACCGGGAGAAGAAGCACCGGCUAACUCUGUGCCAGCAGCCGCGGUAAUACAGAGGGUGCAAGCGUUGUUCGGAAUUAUUGGGCGUAAAGCGCGUGUAGGCGGCUUUGCAAGUCGGGUGUGAAAGCCCUCAGCUUAACUGAGGAAGUGCGCCCGAAACUGCUUAGCUUGAGUGCCGGAGAGGAUGGCGGAAUUCCCCAAGUAGAGGUGAAAUUCGUAGAUAUGGGGAGGAACACCGGUGGCGAAGGCGGCCAUCUGGACGGUAACUGACGCUGAGACGCGAAAGCGUGGGUAGCAAACAGGAUUAGAUACCCUGGUAGUCCACGCCGUAAACGAUGAGAACUAGGUGUCGUGGGUGUUGACCCCCGCGGUGCCGUAGCUAACGCAUUAAGUUCUCCGCCUGGGAAGUACGGUCGCAAGACUAAAACUCAAAGGAAUUGACGGGGGCCCGCACAAGCGGUGGAGCAUGUGGUUUAAUUCGACGCAACGCGCAGAACCUUACCUAGUCUUGACAUCCUCGGAACCUUCCAGAGAUGGAGGGGUGCCCGCAAGGGAACCGAGAGACAGGUGCUGCAUGGCUGUCGUCAGCUCGUGUCGUGAGAUGUUGGGUUAAGUCCCGCAACGAGCGCAACCCUCGCCUUUAGUUGCCACGCAAGUGGAUCUCUAGAGGGACUGCCGGUGUUAAACCGGAGGAAGGUGGGGAUGACGUCAAGUCCUCAUGGCCUUUAUGACCAGGGCUACACACGUGCUACAAUGGCUGCUACAAAGCGCUGCUAACUCGCGAGAGGGAGCCAAUCGCAUAAAAGCAGUCUCAGUUCGGAUUGGAGUCUGCAACUCGACUCCAUGAAGUCGGAAUCGCUAGUAAUCGAAGAUCAGCACGCUUCGGUGAAUACGUUCCCGGGCCUUGUACACACCGCCCGUCACACCAUGGGAGUCAAUUGCUCCAGAAGUCGCCGUGCCAACCGCAAGGAGGCAGGCGCCCAAGGAGUGAUUGGUAACUGGGGUGAAGUCGUAACAAGGUAACC